RNAcentral lists this ribosomal RNA (464 nucleotides) under uncultured bacterium. RNAcentral describes it as "partial 16S ribosomal RNA". It matches the Rfam family "Bacterial small subunit ribosomal RNA", at positions 339 to 795 of the family's 1533-position model. The record is from RNAcentral.
CUACGGGUGGCUGCAGUGGGGAAUAUUGGACAAUGGGGGAAACCCUGAUCCAGCAAUGCCGCGUGUGUGAAGAAGGCCUGCGGGUUGUAAAGCACUUUCGGUUGGGAGGACUGCUUCUAGCACUAAUAUUGUUGGAAGUUGACGUUACCUUCAGAAGAAGCACCGGCUAACUCCGUGCCAGCAGCCGCGGUAAUACGGAGGGUGCAGCGUUAAUCGGAAUUACUGGGCGUAAAGCGCGCGUAGGCGGCUAGAUCAGUCGGGUGUGAAAGCCCCGGGCUUAACCUGGGAACUGCAUCCGAUACUGUCUAGCUUGAGUACAGGAGAGGAGAGUGGCAUUCCACAUGUAGCGGUGAAAUGCGUAGAUAUGUGGAGGAACACCAAUGGCGAAGGCAGCUCUCUGGCCUGAUACUGACGCUGAGGUGCGAAAGCGUGGGGAGCAAACAGGAUUAGAUACCCGUGUAGUC